This is a non-coding RNA of Pelobates cultripes (western spadefoot toad), 909 nucleotides long. The record is from the annotation of a GenBank genome assembly. Lineage: Eukaryota; Metazoa; Chordata; Amphibia; Anura; Pelobatidae.
UAAAGUUUGAGCAAACAAUUGCUUUAUUUGAAAGGAGACAGGCCAUAGAAUCACAAAGACACCAGGUAAAUUUCCCUGAGCACAAAAUGUUAAUUACAUUUUUAUUAUUAAGAUUUUUUAUUUUUUUUUAAACAAAGUAAUUCUAUAACAGACCCAGAUGCUGGGGCAUUUAAAUUAAUUGAAGCGGUGUUAAAGAUAUAAAGCUUUUUUUUAAAAAAAUUCUGAUCCACAGAAAAAAAAAAAAAUCAUAAAAAAAUAAUCUUAUUUUACACGACAGUAACAAUACUGUCACAUAACAAUAUUUACAGAUCUACCCAUUAUGGGCAAAUAGUCUACACUUCAGAUUAAGUGUCACUUUGAUGCUGCUAAAAAAAAUUAAUAGUUUUAAAUUCACCCCAACCCUGAAAAAAAAAAAAAAUUUUUUUUUUUCCAGGAAGUUCAAAUGAUAGGACUCUUGUUUAGAUAGAAUUAUUCUAGAUUAAAAGCCCCAUUCAGAUAAAUCACUUUACUUUUGGGAUGGAAAUCCGUUCGAUACAGGGCAAUAAGCUUACAGAGUAAUUGUCCUCCAUCUUAAAGGCAUCAAGUCACUAGUAGCUAUGUAAAUUGCCCCUGUCACCACUUGCAGCAUAAAGUUCUCUUUAAGAGUCCAGCUCUGAAUUUGUAGAUACAAUGUAUCAAAGUGCCACAAUUGCUUUUAACUACUUCACUACCAAAGGGGCAAAUAAGCUAUAAACCAAACCAAUACAUGGAUUAUUGCACACCAUGGCAGGGAAAUGGUUAAAAGCACAAAGUUCUCUGAAUUUAUAUAUUAUAUUUUUAUAUAUAUAUAUUGUUUUUUUAAAACAUUUCAAUACCUGUUUGAAAGCUGCCUUACCCCAGGCAAAAAAAAGUGACAAUUAUUUUUUCUUU